GUGAACAUAGCUCAGUUGAUAAGAGUGCUUGCCUAGCAUGCAGGAGGCCCUGGGUUCACACCCCGGCACU
RNAcentral lists this transfer RNA (70 nucleotides) under Mesocricetus auratus (golden hamster). It matches the Rfam family "tRNA". From Rfam's summary of the family: Transfer RNA (tRNA) molecules are approximately 80 nucleotides in length. Lineage: Eukaryota; Metazoa; Chordata; Mammalia; Rodentia; Cricetidae. The record is from Rfam by way of RNAcentral.